This 253-nucleotide ribosomal RNA is filed under the name uncultured bacterium. RNAcentral's name for it is "partial 16S ribosomal RNA". It matches the Rfam family "Bacterial small subunit ribosomal RNA", at positions 524 to 776 of the family's 1533-position model. The record is from RNAcentral.
UACAGAGGGGGCAAGCGUUGUUCGGAAUUACUGGGCGUAAAGGGCGCGUAGGCGGCCUGUUAAGUCGAACGUGAAAUCCCCAGGCUCAACCUGGGAACUGCGUCCGAUACUGGCAGGCUUGAAUUCGGGAGAGGGAUGCGGAAUUCCAGGUGUAGCGGUGAAAUGCGUAGAUAUCUGGAGGAACACCGGUGGCGAAGGCGGCUCUCUGGGCCGAUACUGACGCUGAGGAGCGAAAGCGUGGGGAGCAAACAGG